CCUACGGGGGGCUGCAGUGGGGAAUAUUGGACAAUGGGGGGAACCCUGAUCCAGCCAUGCCGCGUGUGUGAAGAAGGCCCUCGGGUUGUAAAGCACUUUCAGGGAGGAAGAACGCCUGGUGGUUAAUACCCAUCAGGAAAGACAUCACUCACAGAAGAAGCACCGGCUAACUCCGUGCCAGCAGCCGCGGUAAUACGGAGGGUGCGAGCGUUAAUCGGAAUUACUGGGCGUAAAGCGCGCGUAGGUGGCUUGAUAAGCCGGUUGUGAAAGCCCCGGGCUCAACCUGGGAACGGCAUCCAGAACUGUCAAGCUAGAGUGCAGGAGAGGAAGGUAGAAUUCCCGGUGUAGCGGUGAAAUGCGUAGAGAUCGGGAGGAAUACCAGUGGCGAAGGCGGCCUUCUGGACUGACACUGACACUGAGGUGCGAAAGCGUGGGUAGCAAACAGGAUUAGAUACCCGAGUAGUC
This 465-nucleotide ribosomal RNA is filed under the name Vreelandella stevensii. RNAcentral's name for it is "partial 16S ribosomal RNA". It matches the Rfam family "Bacterial small subunit ribosomal RNA", at positions 338 to 795 of the family's 1533-position model. The record is from RNAcentral. Lineage: Bacteria; Pseudomonadati; Pseudomonadota; Gammaproteobacteria; Oceanospirillales; Halomonadaceae.